This 518-nucleotide small RNA is filed under the name Pongo abelii (Sumatran orangutan). Its description in RNAcentral is "processed transcript". The record is from RNAcentral. Lineage: Eukaryota; Metazoa; Chordata; Mammalia; Primates; Hominidae.
GCUUCCGGAGAGCGGGGCCUGCGCGCUGCUCUUCCCCGCGGAGCCCGGGCAGUCCGCGCAGCCCGCAUCGCGACUGGGCCCGCGCGCAGGAUGGCUGCUCCAUGAGGUCAAGACUGGGUCUCCUCCCUCCUCCCCCUUCACCAAUGCCUGGUCUCACGGGGCUAGUUUUGACCCCCACGCUAUGGCAUCAUCGACCUCCCUCCCAGCUCCUGGCUCUCGGCCUAAGAAGCCUCUAGGCAAGAUGGCUGAACCAUUUAGAGGAGAAGCCAAGCAGAGAGAGAAAAUGAAUCAAUCCCCACCACAACUAUCUGUCCUUAUCAAGGGCUGGGGAAGCUGAAUUUUCAUCUCCUUAUGGAGUCCCUACAACACACCUGACACUGCAUUAUCUCAGUUAACUUUCAGCAACUAAGACAAACCCAUUUUACAGAUGAGGGAAUGGAGACACAGACUAACUUGCUGAAGGUCAUACAGAAAGUGAGCCACAGGUCCACAGUCAAAGCCGUGUCCCUGACUUGAGU